CCUUCGGUAGCUCAGUUGGAAGAGCGUCAGACUGUAACUGGAUACGAGCCAUCAUCUGAAUGUCGCUGGUUCGAUCCCGGCCCGGAGGA
Panus rudis PR-1116 ss-1 is the source of this 89-nucleotide non-coding RNA. NCBI's taxonomy places the organism in Eukaryota, Fungi, Basidiomycota, Agaricomycetes, Polyporales, Panaceae. The record is from the annotation of a GenBank genome assembly.